UCCCUCCAAAAUUCCUAUUCUGAAUAAUGAAAACUUCUUUUCUAAAAAAACCCUAAAAACUGCUAUUUAUACUAAAGCCUAAUUAAGGAAAUAAAAUAACAAAAUCACAGCUGGGCUCGGAUUUAGGUGACGCGAUAUUGGUGUUGGUCAUCAGACUUCUGACGGUGUCUCAGAUAUGUCGUCAGAAGUCAUGCCAACUUUACCUGUUCUGCCUCACUCUACCUAACUCUGAUGAUGUCCUAUGAUGGCUUACCACACUUGUGACGGCAUGUAGCAAAUGUCGUCAGACCUUCAACUUAUUUCACCGUGUUCUGCCUCACUCUGAUGGCAUAUUCUGAUGGCUUACCACACUUGUGAUGACAUAUUGAGAAUGUCGUCACUCUCAUCCAGCAACUCUUCUCCACUGUUCUUCUUGACACCUUUUUCUGGUAGCUUACUACAUCUCUGACGGCUUGGAAGAAAUGUCGUCAGACUCAUAUCAAUUCACUUGAUGAGAUUGAAAUGCAAUAAUGGAUCAGCAGACGAGUUCUCGAGUUAAAUAAAAUGUUUCAGUUGCAAUAGACCAAUUCAUCAAGAAACUAUAUAGAUUCAAUCUGAGAUAGUAUGCAAUAAAGAGAUACACUAUUAAAUCAUUUAGAUACCAAAAAUAAUGAAUAAUAAUGUAAUACCAGGAGAAUGUGUUCAAACUGUGCACUUCAUUUUCCAUCUGCUAUCGCAGCAGUCCAUCCAUCAGGACACAUACGAUCACACCAAAUACAUAAAAUUGAAUUAAUCAAGACAUAAGGACAACAAUAACAUACCCAGUAAAAUUCCAUAAAUUAAGACACAAGAAAAAGAGAGAUUUUAUAUUGUAUGGUACACAAUGAAUUUUGGACCGAAGAACUUACCAGCAUAAAUGGUAGGUUCAAUUGUGAGAUUUUGGCAAGCUUUCAUAACACCAACUGCUUUAUAUCUUGAUUAGAUUAAGGUUACCACAGAAAGAUUGACCAAAGUAAAGACAAUUUUACUUAGAUCCCACAAUCCUUGAGGAUACUAUCUUAACUGAAAUAUUGUGUUGAAU
RNAcentral lists this long non-coding RNA (1060 nucleotides) under Capsicum annuum. RNAcentral's name for it is "long non-coding RNA (CANN_LNC002761)". The record is from RNAcentral. Lineage: Eukaryota; Viridiplantae; Streptophyta; Magnoliopsida; Solanales; Solanaceae.